UCCGCGUAUCAUUUCAUUAAAACAUAGAAGAAAAGGUAUAUAGUGUUAGAGAAAGAAUCCAACACUCACCCACUAAGGAUACAACAGAACACCACACACCCAAAGGAAAAAACAAAUGCGAUCAUGACAGGACUCGAGGAAGAAGCCCCGGCUAACUCCGUGCCAGCAGCCGCGAUAAGAGGGGGCGGCAAGUAUUCUUCGGAAUGACUAGGCGUAAAGGGCACGUAGGCGGUGAAUCGGGUUGAAAGUGAAAGUCGCCAAAAAGUGGCGGAAUGCUCUCGAAACCAAUUCACUUGAGUGAGACAGAGGAGAGUGGAAUUUCGUGUGUAGGGGUGAAAUCCGUAGAUCUACGAAGGAACGCCAAAAGCGAAGGCAGCUCUCUGGGUCCACAAACUAGUGCAUUAGCAGCAUGGUCAUAGUAAAGAUAUCAGCUCCCACUAGGCACCAAAGAGCACCCUCAUU
RNAcentral lists this non-coding RNA (462 nucleotides) under Oryza meridionalis. Its description in RNAcentral is "Bacterial small subunit ribosomal RNA". It matches the Rfam family "Bacterial small subunit ribosomal RNA", at positions 396 to 847 of the family's 1533-position model. The record is from Rfam by way of RNAcentral. Lineage: Eukaryota; Viridiplantae; Streptophyta; Magnoliopsida; Poales; Poaceae.